CUUUAUUAAAUACUGCACGUUGACUAUUUAGUAUCAUGUUUAAUUUUUCUGAACUAUAUGUAAAUUUUUUAACUAAGGGUUUGUAUUUGUUAAGUUCUUUAGUUAAUGUUUGAUUUUCUGCUUUUAAAUCAUUUAGUUCUUUUGUUAGAUCCUUGUUUAAGACUUGUUUAUGGUUUGAGAGUUCCUUAGUUAGUUUUUCAUUAUCUUUAGUUAAGGUAUUAGUUUUCUUAAUUAAGAGUUGGUUGCUUGUCUUAAGUUCUAGAUUUUCUUUGGCAAGAUUAUCUUUAUCCUUAAUUAAUGUGUCAUGCUUAUGAAUAUAAGUUUGGUUAGUUACUUUUAGUUCUCUGUUUUUAGCAUUUAUAUUCUUAUACUCAAUCAUUAAUUCAUUGAACGCAUCAUAAAGUUCGUCAAAUGUAAAAUCAAAAUGCGUAUCGAAAGUUACCUCGUUUUCGUUGGCCAUGAAGCAGAAAUUGGCCUUCUCUUCUUGUUCUUCAUCCGAUGAUGAAGAUGAUGCGUCGGAGUCCGAUAGGGUAGUGACAAGUGCCUUCUUUUUCUUGUACUUACUCCCCUUCUUCAAUAAGGGGCACUCCGCUCUUAUGUGACCCGGCCUCUUGCACUCGUAACACCCAAUCCCCUCACUUUCCCUUUCCUUACCUUUGUCCUUGCGGUAGGAAUUUGAGGGGCCUCUCCUUUGAUGGUAGGACUUCUUGUGGUUGAUGAAUUUCUUGAACUUGCGCACACGAAGAGCCUCACCACCAUCUUCCUCAUCUUCUUCUUCGUCACUGCUGCUACUGCAAGACAAGUCCUUGUUAGAUGAAAUUGACUUAAGUGCUAUUACCUUUUUCUUGUAGGAGGACUCCUCUUCGCUGUGUUGCUUCAUGGUUAGCUCGUGCGUCAUGAGGGAUCCAAGAAGCUCCUCAAGUGGUAGCUUGUUCAAGUCCUUGGCUUCUUGGAUUGCCGUCACUUUAGCCUCCCACGACCUUGGUNNNNNNNNNNNNNNNNNNNNNNNNNNNNNNNNNNNNNNNNNNNNNNNNNNNNNNNNNNNNNNNNNNNNNNNNNNNNNNNNNNNNNNNNNNNNNNNNNNNNNNNUGCCGGAGUUAGUCCUUUAUAAAAGAAGUGGACCAGAUCAGCCUUAUCAAGCCCAUGGUGUGGGCAUUUGACCAACAAGUCAUGGAAUCGUUCCCAAGUUUGAAAGAAUUCUUCUUCAGAUUUUUCUCUAAAAGUUCUGAUGGCAUCCUUAAUUUUUUCAGUUUUUACCAUGGGAUAGAACUUAGCCUUAAACUUCCUAGACAACUGUUCCCAUGAUGUGAUGGAAUUUGAAGCAAGGGAAUACAGCUAUGCAGCAGCACGAUCUUCUAAAGUCAUGGGAAACAAUCUUAAUUUAAUACCCUCUUCAUCUAAGUUUUGAUUUCUAAAUGUUUGACAGAUUGUCAAAAACUUGUUUAGAUGAAUAUAGGGUUGUUCACUCUCGAACCCAUGAAACUUGGGUAACAUGUUUAUUGUUGCAGCCCGAAUUUCAAAUUGGGCCGCAUUAUUUAUUGGCAAUGCUAUACAUGUAGGUGGACUAGCGGAUGCAGGGGCGAAUAAUUCAUUCAGGGUUCUAAUGUGAUCACCCAUUGUAGAGAUUGGUGGUUGAUCAAUAAUUCGUCGGGUGUGAUGAUGCUUUUUUCCAACCUCUGGGUUAAAUGGUGUUAACUUACCCCUUAAUGAUCUUCUACCAUGCAUACAUUAUCCACAACUUAAUUAGACUCGACUCUUAAAUGAAAUCCUAGAAGAAGAGAAGAAGGGCUAGACCAAGAUGACUACAAUCAACACCACACAACAAUUUGACCUUAUUAGUCUUAGAACUAAGUGAGGUUUAGUAGCUUCUUAAAUCUAGUUGCAUAGAGACUUAUCAGGUUAAAAAGUUCCUGAAAUUCUCUCUAGAUUAAGCUUGAGCUUACCAGUUAAGCAAUCCAGUAACCAGUGACCAGGAAAGUCCCGGGGUGUGUGGUGGUGCCAGAAGGGAUACACCGAUACCACAAUACCCGUAACAGUUCUCACUGUUGUAAAACUUUCCUAGACAUCACCAAUUACUAAAUUUUCACUGGAGUGGCUUUCAGCCGCUUCUUUCCAAGAGCCUAAUUGAGCUCGAAAACCCUAAGGCCGACGUCUAAUUUGAUUUUAAUUUAAUUUGGCUUAAGAUAUGUACGCAAGGUAGUGAUUUUUGGGCUAAGGACAGGUAAUGACUUCCUGACCUUAUCUUUUUAAUGGGUUUUGCCCUUAAAUUUUUUAUGCAAAUGCUUAAUACUAAAUGCAGUAAAUAAUCAAUGAUUUAUUUUUAAAGUUUAUGCAAUGUCAUUAGGUUGUACUGAUUAAAUGAGCAAGCAANNNNNNNNNNNNNNNNNNNNUAUUACAUAAAAGAAAAUUGAUGGAUUUCAUAAAAAGAAAACUGAUUACAAAUAAAAGUGGAGAUUAGAAGGCCUAAUACUCUCCUAUUGUGCAAAUAAAAUAAAAACAAGAAACCUUAUUUCCUCUCCCUUUCUCUCCCACGGUGAACUUUCAACAUAAAACACCGUUUUUUUUUCUUUCUUCUUCCCAAGAACAGAGCAUUGCUCUGUUUCUUCUUCUUUGAACCAGCCGAGCUCCCACCUCCUUUGGUUCCCACCCCAACCGAGCACACCCCUCUUCUCUUCCUCCUUCUCCUUUUAUAGCCAUGGACGGACGCCUGAUGCGGAAGGGAGAUGGCAGACGCGGUGAGGACGCGGGGAGGAGUCGAUCACAGACGCAAUCCGGGCACUGGGAGCAGGCUGGAUCGCUGAUCUCGGGCGGAAGCUUCGUGGACGGCUGCUGGCACGCGAUCUCGGCUUGCAUCCCGGCUGGAGCUGGGAGGAAUCGCGGAGAUGGCUUGGAGGAUUUGGAAGGCGAUCCGAGAUCGAUGGGAGGACGCCGUGGAGGUUGGGACUUCCUUCUUCGGGUGCUGGGAUUUCGGGAUCACGGAAGGAAGGCGUCGAUGAUUGUUGGAGCUCGGAUGCGGCGUCGGAGGCUGGGAUUCCANNNNNNNNNNNNNNNNNNNNNNNACAGAUGGAGGGAUCGGCUGGGAUUUUCCUUGCUGGGAGAGACGUGGAUCUGAGCACUGGGAGGAGCUGGAGCCUGGCACGGUGGCUGGCACGAUGCGGAUGGAAGGUGGAGACGCAUGCGGCUUGGAUCACGGGAGAGGCAUUCAUGGCUUGGAUGCGCCGUGGAAGAUGGAUACGGACGAGAGAUGGGAUGCUAAAAAUGGGCGCCAGUGGACUCUUGGGCUGCUGGGAUUUGGAUCACGGGUCACCUGUUCUGACUGGAGGUCAAUUGCAAGUUUCAAGUCAUGGGUCACCCGACCUCAUAGUUAUGAUAUGACCAAAUUAGAUUUGCCCAAAAAUUCUUUUCCAAAAGCACAAAUAAAAUGGACCCGAACCUGACUCGGACCCGACUCGAUCUUCAACCGGGUCGGAUCGAGGAAGGGAUCCUUCUUUAGUCAAAUUUGAACUCAAUGUGCAUUUUAUUUCUAAUUUAUGAAAAUAUGUGACAAACCUAAAUAUAAUAUUAAUCCAGUGAAUUUAUCAUUAUCGGUUAGCAAUAAUACUAAUUUAGGUGACAUGUAGGUCGCACUUUUGUACUCUCAUCAGAUUUCAAGAUGAUAAAUUGCUCCAUGUCACCUGUCAUGUGUCUUGAACAACCACUAUCAAGAUACCAUAUUCUAUUCUUUUCAUUAGCUGUAAGACACACCUACAAGCAAAAUCAAGGAUACAUUUUAGAUACCCAAACUAUGUUGGGUCCUUUAGGGUUAGUGUAUGUUGUUCCUUUCUGAACCCAAAUUUUUUUGAAUUUUAGCUUGCUCUUUUCACUUAAUUUAUCAUAGUUUAAUUUUUUGAAAUUGCAUUCAUAUGCUUUAUGUCCUAUUUUAUUACAGUAAUAAUAGGUAGUAUUUUCAUUCUUGGAUUUUACAAAUAUAUUCUUCAAGUAUUUUUGUUUUCUAUUUGUUUUAUAUCCUAAUCCUGCUUUAUCAUAGAUACCUCUUUGACUAUCGAGAAUCAUGUUUAGUUUAGUUGAGCUGAGUGUAAACUUUUCUACCACUGAUUUAUAUUUCUUUACAUCUUCUUUUAGUUUGAUAUUUUCAUUAAUUAGAUUUUUAGUUUCAUUAGCAAACUUCUUACUUAAUGUUUCAUAAUCAUUAGACAAUUUCAGCUUAUCUUCCAUAAGCAUCUUAUUUUUAUUUUUUAAAAUUAUAUUUUUAUGAAUAAGUUUCUUAUGCUCUUCCAUGAGAUCUAGAAAGGCAUCAUGCAAUUCAUCAGUGGUAAAAUCACAAUCAAGUUCAGUAUCUACCUCAUCAUCAUUGGCCAUGUAGCAUAUUUGAGCUGUGCCUUGCUGAUCUCCCUCAUCAGAGCUUGAUUCCUCGCUCUCACUCCAUUCAGCCAUGAGGACUUUCUUCUUGAGCUUCUUUGCCAACCAUUUUAAUUUCGGGCAAUCUAUUUUGAAAUGCCCGGGCUUAUUACACUCAUAACAUAUGGGCGCUUCUCUUUCUUUUUCUUUAUCAUUUUCUUUUCUUUUGCUAGNNNNNNNNNNNNNNNNNNNNGGGCUUAUUACACUCAUAACAUAUGGGCGCUUCUCUUUCUUUUUCUUUAUCAUUUUCUUUUUCUUUGCUAGAGCUGCCUUUGAGGAUAGGUUUCUUUUUGUGGAACUCCUUUUUCUUCAUAAAUUUUCUGAAUCUUUUUGUGAGCAUUGCCACUUCCUCUUCAUCGUAUUCCUCUUCCUCAUCCGAAUCAUCUGAUUCACUUACUUUUUUUGUAGACUUCAAGGUAAUAGUCUUCUUUCUCUUGACCUCUUCUUCUGAAUUUUGCAUCAUGGUCAACUCAUGUGUCAUGAGUGAUCCUAGAAGCUCUUCUAGCUGCAGCGUAUUGAGAUCCUUUGUCUCCUGAAUUGCUGUUACCUUGGCCUCCCACACUCUUGGUAGAGACCUGAGAAUUCUUCGCACCAAUUUAGAGUUAGUAUAUGAUUUGCCUAAACUUUUAAGUCUAUUUAUAAGGUCGGUGAAUCUAGUGAAUAUUUCAGUUAUGGACUCAGUAGGUUCAAUUUUAAAUAGUUCAUAUUUAUGUAUUAACAUAUUUAUUUUAGACUUCUUUACUUGAUUUGUGCCCUCAUGUAUGACUUCUAACCUAUCCCAAUCUCUUUGGCUGAGGUACAUGUUGAGAUCCUAUUGAACUCAUUUACAUCUAGGGAACAAUAAAGAACAUUUAUGGCUUUAGCAUUUAGCUGAGCCAACCUCUUAUCACUAUCAUCCCAAUCCUUUUCAGGUUUAGGAAUGAUUGUGUAAUCUAUGCUAAUGGAGGGUAUGUGUGGUCCUCUAGUUAUGAUGUUCCAUAAAUCAUAAUCUAGAGCUUGAAUGAAUAUCCUUAUCCGAGCUUUCCAGUAUGUAUAAUUUGUGCCAUUAAACAAGGAAGGUUUAUUUGUUGAUUGUCCCUCACUUAUAGAACUUCCUACUUGGGCUACUAUGAUUUUUUUCUCUUUGAUCGUUAGAUUAACAACUAAUACUAAAGAACUAGAUUCUGAUACCACUUGUUGCCUAAACAUGACAACCCAAGAGGGGGGGAGGGGUGAAUUGGGUUUUUCAAAUUUUAACUCUUAAUGGUGCAGCAGAAUAGAAUUAAUCCUAAGUACUUGCACAAAUAUAAAACUAAAAGAUAGAGAUAAUAGUCACACACACAAAGACACAAGAUUUUAUAGUGGUUCGGUGCACUCCAAAGCACCUACUUCCACUCCCCAAGACUCUCCUUGGGAAUUCACUAUAAUCUUCCUGAUUACAGUUGGAUUGUUUUUCCAGGCUCACAAUCCAAAUCUUACAAUUGGUUUUUCGGGAUCACCAAUUAACCUUUCCGUUGGUUUUGCGGGCUCACCAACAAACCUAAUUGUUGGUUUUUGCGGAACUACCAACGAACCUAACCAAAAGUAAAAGAAUUAAAAUGUAUACAAAACAACUAUUGCUCAGUUUGAAAUAAAAGCAAACUCAGUAGGUUGAGCAAUGGUUGAUGGCACUUUAGAUUUUUGUUGAUGAGAGAAUUGCACCGAGUUGAGCCGGAGAUUGACUGUUGAUGGAUCUCUUCUUGAAUGCUUUUCUUAUUUGCUCAGCUCCUUGCUCUAAUUCAAUAGCUCACAAAAAAACGAAAAAUCUAUUUGGCUCAAGCUCUUGAUUGUAUUCCUUGAACUCUCUUUUUCACUUCUUUUUCUUUCUUAUUUUUUUAUUUUUUGAAUCCUUUGUUUUUAUAAUCUUUGAGUAGGAGGGAAUGCAUUACUAUCCGUUAGACACAAAAAUAUAGCCGUUACCAACCUUUUUCCUCUGUACUGUUCUUUUGAAAAUGUAGCCGUUAGAGCUUCCAGUCGAUUUGGAGUCGACUCGUGUAAACUUCGAGUCGGCUCGUAUGGACCUGGAGUCGACUCAAACUUCUAAGUUGUCGACUCGAGUUUGGGUCCUUUAUAACUGAUCUUCUGUUGUUCAUCAGUGGAGUCGACUCGGAAUUUUCUGGAGUCGACUCGGGAUUUUCUAGAGUCGACUCGCCUAACUGUUCAUCUGAGCUUCUUUAUUUGAGUGAGUCGGCUCGAUGAUUUCUGGAGUCNNNNNNNNNNNNNNNNNNNNNNNNNNAUCUAUUAUUCUCUCAGGGAGUCGACUCAAUGCAUCAUGGAGUCGAUUCGGCCACUGUUCAUCCGAAAAACAAGUUUCUGUCUUUUUCUCAGGGAGUCGAUUCGUUGUCUCCUGGAGUCGACUCGCCCACUGUUCAUCCGAAAAACAAGUUUCUGUCUUUUUCUCAGAGAGUCGACUCGAUGUCUCCUAGAGUUGACUCGGCCACUGUUCAUCCCAAAAACCAAGUUUCUAUCUUUCUCUGAGAGUGUCUCAGAGAGUCGACUCGAGUUUCUUAUGAGUCGACUCGGCCACUAUUUUUGACUUUUGUCUUUUAGCUCACUGUGAAGGGAGUCGUCUCUUGAUCUUUUGGAGUCGACUCGCACUUUGAUAGAGUCGACUUGAGCUCAACCAUGAGUCAGCUCCUUAGCGUGCUAGAAGUGUGUCGACAAUUCUGUUUGUGCCAGAGUCGACUCGAACCCUUCUUGAGUCGACUCGAGGAUUGUUCCUUUGCCAUUUACUGAUCCAAAGUCUUUUCAAAUUUGUUCUUACUAAUUUAUCUUGAAUUAUUUCGACAUUUUUUUGAAACACUGAACAUAAACUUAUUAGUACAAUAACAUGUCCUUAAUGGCUUUGUAAACAUCAAAAUCUCACAAAGAUCAUCAAUGAUGAAUCAAGAAGAAGAGAAUAGCAACGAAAAGAAAAAAAUGUUAGUAUUCAAGUCCUCAAAUCAAAAAGAUUGCACAAAAAUUGAAGAAUCUGGUGAUAAAGAUGAAGACCUAUCAUUAAUCAUUAGAAAAUUUAGAAGCUUCCUAAAGAUGAAGAAGAAGAAGAAGCAAGAAAGAGAAAAAAAGUUUCGGCUAAGGGAGAGAGAAGUAAGAAAAGAAGUAGACAAUUUAGAGUGACAAUGAAGAUUUCAACUCGAAAUUUACUCAGCCUGAGUCUUUGGGCAAUUACAUGUCACCAUCUUAGCCGAUCUUCGGCUAUCCUCUAUUAGUGGUUUCCACUUCUACUUUAUUGUAUAAAAGGUAAUCCUCUUAACCUACUUCUCAUUACUGAGACUAGUGUCUCAUUCAUAUCUGGUAUUUGGCAAUACCAUGGGGGAAUCAUCUAAACUGGUUAAUGUUAUUUUUCUUGUAUGCACUAAACAUAUUAAAUUUGACUUGGAUAUUUCAAUUUCCAGUUCUAUGGAUCAAGCCAUAAUUUAUCCAAGACCCUACUUAAUAAGGGAUAACAAAAGUAAUGAGCUUGUCUUUAUGGAGAUUAAUUUAAAUAAAAAUUCAGCAAAUUUAAAAAUUAAAAAAAAAAAAAUUGCCAAACUAACUUUAUUGCCAUUAAUUAGUAUAUUUGAAAUAUGUGUAAUAUUCCUCUUUGCAUUUUUUCCCCUUUUAGAUGGGUUCUGUUAUGUGACUACCAUUUUAUGUGUACCUGCCAAGUACCAAUUCCACCCCAGAAAACACACACACACACACACACACAACAGUUAGCUUACCUCAUUCUCCAGCUAUAGAUUCCAUGAACCCCAGCAGAAUGACAUUGAGACCAAGCCAGGUUUACAAAUGUAAUGCCACGUGGCUUAGUUACGAAGGCCUUAUCCCAUAUUAGUGUGGAGCCACCCCACCUGCCCAAAAUCCAAAGCAGAAAACCAAAACCAUAGGGGGAACUCGAGGCUUACCAUUCAAAAUGUCCCUCCUCCAAUCCCUUCAAUGCUGCUCUAUUUCAACUCAAGCCUUCACCAAGGCCACCCAACCCAUUAAAGGCCCAGAGCAGCAGCGGCGGCGGCACCACCACCGCCACCACCGCACCCAAAUCAGACCCAUCGGAUCAGUCCCCACUGCCUACCAACCGCUCGACCAAAUUCCCCUCCGGGAUACCUUUGCUUGGAACUCCCUCCUCCGGGCCCACCUCGUCGACGGCAACUGCUGGCAAACCAUCCUUGUCUACCGCCACAUGCUCCUUUGCGGUGUCCGCCCGGACCGCCACACCCUUCCCGCCGUCCUCCGUGCUUCUGGUCUCUCCGAUGCCUCCUCCAAUGGAAAACAAGUCCAUGCACACGCUCUUAAGCUUGGGUUCGCCUCAGAUUCCUAUGUCGUCACUGCACUUAUGGAAUUCUAUGGCCAAUUUGAAGGAGCUGACAUUGCUGGCGUGGUUUUUAAUUGCUCGAACCAGAAGAACUCCGUCUCCUGGACGCUGCUAGCCAAACUAUACUUAAUGGAGGACAAACCUAGUUUUGCAUUGCAGUUGUUCCACCGAAUGGUGAAUUCAAACAUGGAAUUGGAUGUGGUGGCAUUGGCUACAGCGGCGAGAGCAUGCGGACAAUUGAGGUCAGUCCAUGAAGGGAAGAAGCUUCUCAAGAUUGCAGGAAGGACUGGAUUGGAGUCUGAUGUUUUAGUGGGCAAUUCACUUUUGAAAAUGUAUUUGGAUUGUGAAAGGAUUGAAGAGGCUCGUGCUCUUUUCGACCAGAUGCCAUCAAAAGAUGCGGUGGCCUGGACUACAAUAAUCAGUGGUUAUGUGAAUAAUGGAGUUUUUAAUGAAGGACUGAAGUUGUUUCGAGCUAUGUGUAUAGAAGGAGUGGCACCUGUUUCAUUCACAGUCUCUGCGAUCCUCCCAGCUUGUGCCAGGGUAGCUGCUUACAAACAUGGUAAGGAGAUUCAUGGAUGCAUAAUUCGACGUCAAAUACAUAUGAAUCCCACAGUUUCUAAUGCUCUUAUGGACAUGUAUGUGAAGUCAGGAAGCAUCGAGGCAGCUUCAAAGAUUUUUAAUAGAAUAUUAGAGAAGGAUGUUAUAUCCUGGACUGUGAUGAUAUUGGGAUAUAGCUUACAUGGGCGAGGUGAUCGUGGAAUUUCUCUAUUUCAUCAAAUGGAGGAGAGUUCCACCGUAUUACCUGAUAGGACCACUUUUGCUGCAGCUCUCCAUGCUUGUAGCACUGCUUGCAUGGUUGAGGAGGGCAGGCAUUUCUUCGAAUUUAUACAAGAACCAGAACUUGAGCAUUUUGCUCUAAUGGUUAGUCUUCUAUCUCGUGCCGGGCUAUUUGAUGAAGUGCGGGCAUUUGUGGAGGACCACCGGAUAGGGCACCAUGCUAUGGUGCAGAGAGCAAUGCUAGGAGGCUGCCGAGUGCACCGAAAUAUGAAGACGGGGAAGCGAAUUGCUGAGCAAUUGAUUGAGCUAGAGCCACUGAAUGCUGAAAACUAUGUACUGAUGUUAAAUAUGUACGCAGCCAGCCGAAAGUGGGAUGUGGUAGAAGGGUUGAGGGAGACCAUUCGAGACAUGGGUUUGAAGCCAAAGAAGGCGUGUAGCUGGAUUGAGGUUCGGAGGAAAGUUCAUGUCUUUGGAGUGGGAGAUGUUUCGCACCCGAGGUCGCAAAGGAUAUACUGGGAGCUAGAGUGCUUGAUGAAGAGGAUGAAAGCAGAGGGGCAUGUCUUAGAGAAGGAUUUCGGUCUGCAUGAUGUGGAUGAAGAGAGGGAAUGCAUUCCUUGUGGCCAUAGCGAGAUGCUGGCUGUUGCUUUUGGGCUGAUCAGCACGCAAGGGAGCACGACCUUGCGCGUGGCCAAGAACCUCAGUGUAUGCAGAAGUUGCCAUGCUUCAUUGAAGAUGAUCUCCAGAAUUGUUGGGAAGGAGAUUGUGUUGAAGGAUCCUCAGAUCUUCCACCAUUUUAAGGAUGGGCUUUGUUCAUGUAGAGAUAUGUGGUGAUUGGGUGGAACAAGCUCAUUAUGGCCAAUGACCAGCAGGCCAGCACCUUAGAAGAAUGGGGAUGCUGCUAUGGAGAAAGUGAAGGAUAUCUAGAGUUGGAAGAAUCAAGCUUGAAUAAGUGAACUAUCUCCUUCGGGAACGGAUUAACUAUGGGUCAAGGGGUCAAGGUGAUAGAAAGGUUUGAUUUAAUAAAUAAACAUCACCCCAAACAGUUUAUCCGCCAUCAAGAGGUAAGGUUUUGAAACAGCAAGGUUAGGGGCAGUGCUGAUGUAGAACAUUGCAGCAAAAACUGGAAGCAGCGAGUGAUGCAGAGCCUUGGAAGGGGAAAAAAUGUAAAGCCCAGUUCCCCGAGUGCAUCAAGUGAUUAUAAAGUAACAAAUGCAAACUCUUCCAACUAAACAGUUUUGUGUUAAGAAAACCAAGGUUGGUUGGCACUGUAUGCACUACAAAGAUGUCAGAGGACAUUAUCCAUCUUACUAAUCAAUAUGAUCACUUUUGAUUUGCAAAGGAUGUUUCACUUCUUUGGACAGAGCAACUUUUUUUUCCCCUCAUGCAAGUGUUGGCGACCAAAUGUGUGGUUAACCCUCUGAGCACCAAGAAACUAUAGUAGCAGGAUAUGCUAGGCACAAUUCUUAAGCAAAGCAAGUUGAACUGAUUCAAUAAGAUCGAAACCAAUCACAAAAUUAAUUAUAGCAGCCGUAGAAGCUUUUUAGUAAAAACUUGAGAAAGUGGUCAGAUCAUAAUAAAUCAUAGGACGGAGUUUGCAUUUGCUGUUCAUGCACGCAAUGCAGAAGUUUAGCUAUUACAAUUGAGAAAAAUAAUCGGCGGAACAAGAAGGUAGCCAGAAUGGAAAGAUUGGUGGGAGCAUACUUAAGCAACAUAGCUAUGUCUUUCAAACUACUAGGAUUGAAUCAUUCACUCUUGUAGCCAUCUCUGGAGAAAGAGAACCAUCAAUGGGGUAAUGACUCGGACUUCAUGCCAUGUCAGAGCCUAUCAAGGAGAUGAAACCAACAGAAUAUAAAGCCAACAGAAGAUGAGAUGUCCAGAACUAUUCUAAUAAGUUGGUCAUUCUUGACAAUGGGAUACAUCAUCCAAUAAAAGCCACCUGUUGCUGGAGACAGCAGACAAACUAGAUGUUGAGUAAAUAACACAGCAUGACUCCAACUAGAUAGGGUAAAAAAUAAAACAUACAUUUGAUGCUAGUUAACAUAUAUUUGGUUUUUGUCAAAAAAGAAAAGAAGAAGAAGAAGAAGAAAAAAAAAGACAACCACGCUAAUAAAUAGCCCGAGGAUCCUUUGACCAACCUCAAACAACACCUGCUGUGCAACACAAAUUCAGUCUAGAAGUUAAUGGGAAAGCAUGAAAUGAGAAAAGAAUGAGGCUGAAUAUAAAAUCAGAGGCAGAGAAUCGCGAAAUCUGGUUUAUGCUCAAAUCCUUGGAUGUGUACUUUCUGAAAAUAACCAAUCCAAAAUUUCAAGUCCAAUAUAAUCCUCUCCUAUGUCUCCCGCCUGGAUCGCUGACGCAGUGCUGCUGCAUUCUCUUUCUCAUUUUCCUCUUUCUUUUCAGUAGUGCUUCCUACUCCGCCAUUCUUAGUGGCUUUAGCCCUCUUGGCUCUAGAGGUGGUCUUUGGUGGUGCCUGCCAAAAAAGUUUUCUGUAAGCAAAACUUUUUACAAUUUAGCAAAUAAACAAUAAAAAGAAUAGAGGAACAAAAAAGAAAGGUCAAAACCCACUGCAGGUUUCUUUCUGCCAAAAAGAAUUCUGAAGAUAACUGUAGCGAGGACCACAACAAUAGCCACCAUGAUUCCAAUCGUCAGGUUUGGCUGUUUUUCUCCUUUCUCAAUGACACCCUGCAAAACAAAUCAUUUGGACCUGAAUAUGAUUCCAUGCUUAAACUCUACGAAGGCGUACAAAACAUAAUAAGAUUUGGAAGAGGGGAAAAACAAACAAAAAUACAUUUAUAUGCUAUGCAAUCAGAAUUAUGUUUUCAAGGCCAUGAAGCUGCAAAUAAAGCUUGAAGCCUUGAAAUGAUAAAGCACUAUAGUAUUUAUCAAAAGAUGUGCUCCCCUUUGAACCCUCUCUAUCUAAUGGAUUAGAGAGAUGCAAGCAAAGUGUUGAAUGAUACUAUCAAACAAUUUGUUCAGCUGCUCCUGUCAGAUGUCCAUUGACAGGUGCAAUUUACGACUGUGAUAAUGAGGAAUCAACUAAUAGAGAUAUCCGCUUAUUCUGAUGACAUAGUAAGAACUGAAUGGAUUAUAUAGCACUAUUAACUAUUGACUAUCAAGUAAAUGAUAAUCAGCUUAAAAAAAGGUCAAGUUCUACUAAAUGAAUGAUAGUUUGUUUCAAAAAAUUAUAUAGCUUCCAACAAAUCCAGAGUUUCUAAAUUUUGUUGAAAUUUUUAUUUAGUAUAUAUACAUAGAAGCAAUUUGCUUUUACAGUUGGAGAAAUCCCUUAAAAUGUUUAUUCUAGGAUCCACAUUAAUAGAUUGACGAAAAUGUUAUAUCAGUAACUGCAGUAAGCAACACAAUAAUGGCAUGGGCCACUUACGAUGAUCUUGGACCUGUAUGGCGCAAAGACGGGAAUGUCUGCUACUUUGUAAAGAACAUCAAAUACUUUCUUCUGCAAUUGCCCAAUAAUCAUAUUAAAAAUUGAUUAGGCAGAAAUGCCAUGAGAUAACUACAUCUGAAAAACAAACAAUUUUAAGAGACAUUACUAGUACCUGGAAGCUAGCAAGCGCAUCUGAAAAUCCAGAAACUGCUUCUUCAGCCUUCUGCUUUGAUUGCUCAGCUUCAUAUUUAGGCUUCCACAUCUUUUCCCUAUAUGAUUCAGCCACUUUCUCGUCAACAGCUAUCAAAAUAUUGUCAAACAGAAUGCCAUCCUGCAUUGUCCAAAUCUCAAUCCCAAUGGAAGCAAUAGGCUCAAAAUCAGGUUUGUCAAGCUCAAAAUAGUCAGGAUUUGGUAUCUGCCGUGGUUUCCAGAUACCCUUGUAGUUUGGGUUGUCAAUCAAAGGAGCAUGCCACUUUCCCUUGUAUGCUGGAUUUUUCUUCAUUGGUCUCUUCCACUCACAGCAUCCAGGUGCUUCCUCGCACUUUGGGUUAUCAAUUUUUGGUGCUUCCCAUUCUCCAUCUUCUUCAUCAUCCCAGUCCGCUGGUUUGGUGGCGUCAGGAUCAUCAAUUUCCUCAGGCUCAUCAUCCAACCACCCUUCCGGCUUGACAGCUUCCUCAUCUUCGAUCUCCUCAGGAGCAUUCUCAUCCCAAUCAUCAGGUUUCACAGCAUCAGGAUCUGGAAUUUUAGCCCUCUCAUCCCAGUCCUCAGGCUUCUUAUCAUCUGGAUCAGGAAUCGUUUUGGGUGGAAUAAGCGGUGGUUCAAAAUCAUCAGCAGAUAAAAAGUUUGCCUUCUUCUUUCCCUCCCCAUCUAUCAAAAUCGUUAACUCAUUAUCAGGUUUCAGACUAGCAGUGUAAACAUGAGUGAAUUUGUCAUAUGGGACUGAUGGUGGGUUCUUUAGAUGAUGCUCGACAAAGACACCAGUUUUUGGACUCUUGUGCUUAAGGAUGAAGUGCACCUUAUUUGUAGAGCCACACUUGUCAGGUCCAAACAUGAUGGAAUAGGGUGACUCAUUGUCAAACUCCCUGGGAGUCCAUCCGGCAUCUUGAGGUCUGAGAUACUUCAGAUAAGCACCUCCACACUCAAGCCCAUUCUGAAAUCGAGUUUCAUAUUGAAAAACCAGGGUUCUAUCCUUGAUGUUAACUGGUUCAUCAAGGUCUUUGACUAUUGCAUACUUCUUCGCCUUUUCGCUUACAAGAAGGCCAUAGUCUUCAUGUCCAUCACUCUGGGAAUGUUUCCAUAUACCUGUGCCCAACAGGCAAAAACAAGGCCUCUUUUAGAAGGAUGUAGCCAAAGGGAAAAAAUAAUUAGAAAACUUGUAGAAGUCAGCAAGCACAUUCUGCAAUUGAUAACUGUACUUGGCAACCGAUGUCCUUAGGAUAGCAGCAGAGAUGUUAAAAUUCGAAAACCUAAAGGCAUGGCCAUGUUAAACAUGCAAAGAUUAAACAAGCCAUAAUCAGUCACUACUCGAACUAGAUAUGUUACUGUAAUAAAAAGGAGGGCGCCCUCAGUGGGCGUUCCUCCCAUAGCCUGACAGUAAUACUUGGCUUUAAGCCAGGCAUUACAUGCUGUUUUGCCCGAGGCAAAACGGCUAUAAAUGGCCAUUGAUGGCUAGAUCAGUUAUGGUUUUGAGGGCCCUUAUAUAAAGCCCCCCCACCUCCCUAGUUGAAAGUGCAUGAAAAAAUUUCUCUUCUUGCAUUUUCUUGUUUUCUCUCUUGAUUGGGGCAUUCAGGCCGUGGAAAUAAUGGAUGUUGCUCUCGUAAUGCAUUUCUUCACUGAGUAGAAACUCUGGCGUCUCAAGCUUUAGAGGUUCAAACUUUGGGACACGUGAAACAACCUCUGAAGGAUCAAAUUUUUGGGAUUGCUAGGUAUACAGAAAUUGUACAAUACUAGAGAUGGUUAGGUCAAUAAUGGCACAAGUAAACCUACCGAUAUGUUAUUGGGGGGACCAACAAGGAACCUAAUUUAAAUAACUUGUGGCCAUGGGGUUCAACGAGUUUUGUUCAUGAUACUUCUCACAAGCAUGAAAAGUUGAGCCCUAGAAGAAGAAAAUGUAUCAUUAUAAGAUACCCAAAGCAUUCCAAGGGCUAUGUUUUAAUAGGUGAACAAUCUGAUGGAAGUGUGACUGAAAUUGAAUCACGAGAUAUGGAUUUUAAAGAAGAUGAAUUCCCAAGUAGAAGAGAGGUUGAUAGAAACUUAGAAUUAUAUGAAGUUAUAGAUCAAAAGAAAGAU
This 15152-nucleotide long non-coding RNA is filed under the name Phoenix dactylifera (date palm). Its description in RNAcentral is "long non-coding RNA (PDAC_LNC008874)". The stretch from base 1139 to 1245 matches the Rfam family "Plant small nucleolar RNA R71". Lineage: Eukaryota; Viridiplantae; Streptophyta; Magnoliopsida; Arecales; Arecaceae. The record is from RNAcentral.